CCUACGGGUGACAGCAGUGAGGAAUAUUGGUCAAUGGCCGUAAGGCUGAACCAGCCAAGUCGCGUGAAGGAAGAAGGAGCUAUGGAUUGUAAACUUCUUUUAUAGGGGAAUAAAGGAAGCCACGUGUGGAGAUUUGCAUGUACCCUAUGAAUAAGCAUCGGCUAACGCCGUGCCAGCAGCCGCGGUAAUACGGAGGAUGCGAGCGUUAUCCGGAUUUAUUGGGUUUAAAGGGUGCGUAGGUGGUUUUUUAAGUCAGCGGUGAAAGUUUGUGGCUCCACCCUAAAAUUGCCGUUGAAACUGGUAUACUUGAGUGUGUUUGAGGUAGGCGGAAUGCUUGUUGUAGCGGU
Molecule: ribosomal RNA, 347 nt
Filed under: uncultured bacterium
Lineage: Bacteria
Description: partial 16S ribosomal RNA
Rfam family: Bacterial small subunit ribosomal RNA
Source: RNAcentral